RNAcentral lists this ribosomal RNA (253 nucleotides) under uncultured bacterium. Its description in RNAcentral is "partial 16S ribosomal RNA". It matches the Rfam family "Bacterial small subunit ribosomal RNA", at positions 524 to 776 of the family's 1533-position model. The record is from RNAcentral.
UACGUAGGUGGCAAGCGUUGUCCGGAAUUACUGGGCGUAAAGCGCGUGUAGGCGGCCAUGCAAGUCGGAUGUGAAAGCCCUCGGCUCAACCGGGGAAGUGCACUCGAAACUGCAAGGCUAGAGUCUCGGAGAGGAUCGUGGAAUUCUCGGUGUAGAGGUGAAAUUCGUAGAUAUCGAGAGGAACACCGGUGGCGAAGGCGGCGAUCUGGACGAUGACUGACGCUGAGACGCGAAAGCGUGGGGAGCAAACAGG